UGGGGGAAUAUUGGGCAAUGGGGGAAACCCUGACCCAGCAACGCCGCGUGAGGGAAGAAGGUUUUCGGAUUGUAAACCUCUGUCCUAAGAGAAGAGGGGAAGACGGUAUCUUAGGAGGAAGCCCCGGCUAACUACGUGCCAGCAGCCGCGGUAAUACGUAGGGGGCGAGCGUUGUCCGGAAUUACUGGGCGUAAAGGGUGCGUAGGCGGUUUGGUAAGUUGGAUGUGAAAUACCCGGGCUUAACUUGGGGGCUGCAUCCAAUACUGUCGGACUUGAGUGCAGGAGAGGAAAGCGGAAUUCCUAGUGUAGCGGUGAAAUGCGUAGAUAUUAGGAGGAACACCGGUGGCGAAGGCGGCUUUCUGGACUGUAACUGACGCUGAGGCACGAAAGCGUGGGGAGC
RNAcentral lists this ribosomal RNA (400 nucleotides) under uncultured Oxobacter sp. RNAcentral's name for it is "bacterial SSU rRNA". It matches the Rfam family "Bacterial small subunit ribosomal RNA", at positions 354 to 769 of the family's 1533-position model. Lineage: Bacteria; Bacillati; Bacillota; Clostridia; Eubacteriales; Clostridiaceae. The record is from RNAcentral.